This 102-nucleotide ribosomal RNA is filed under the name Olea europaea subsp. europaea. RNAcentral describes it as "SSU_rRNA_eukarya". It matches the Rfam family "Eukaryotic small subunit ribosomal RNA", at positions 1502 to 1604 of the family's 1831-position model. Lineage: Eukaryota; Viridiplantae; Streptophyta; Magnoliopsida; Lamiales; Oleaceae. The record is from RNAcentral.
AUUGAUGUAUUCAACAAGUUUAUAGCCUUGGCCAACAGGUCCGGGUAAUCUUUGAAAUUUCAUCGUGAUGGGGAUAGAUCAUUGUAAUUGUUGGUCUUCAAU